Molecule: non-coding RNA, 93 nt
Organism: Ataeniobius toweri
Lineage: Eukaryota; Metazoa; Chordata; Actinopteri; Cyprinodontiformes; Goodeidae
Source: the annotation of a GenBank genome assembly
CGUUGGGUGGCUCAGUUGGUAGAGCAGGCGCACCAUGUGCAGAGGCUAUAGCCCUGGACGUGGUUAUCCUGGCUUCGAUUCCCAGUCUCAGGA